CAGUCGCACGGUAACACGGAGGGGGCUAGCGUUGUUCGGAAUUACUGGGCGUAAAGCGCACGUAGGCGGCUUGGUAAGUUAGAGGUGAAAGCCUGGAGCUCAACUCCAGAAUUGCCUUUAAGACUGCCGAGCUAGCAGGUGAGAGAGGUAAGUGGAAUUCCGAGUGUAGAGGUGAAAUUCGUAGAUAUUCGGAAGAACACCAGUGGCGAAGGCGGCUUACUGGCUCAUACUGGACGCUGAGGUGCGAGAGCGUGGGGAGCAAACAGGAUUAGAUACCCCGGUAGUCCCUGUCUCUUAUACC
Molecule: ribosomal RNA, 301 nt
Filed under: uncultured bacterium
Lineage: Bacteria
Description: partial 16S ribosomal RNA
Rfam family: Bacterial small subunit ribosomal RNA
Source: RNAcentral